UGGGGUUUCUUCUAAUGGUAGGACACAUCCCUCUGGAGGAUGGUAUUGGGGUUCGAGUCCCUGUUCCCCAG
This 71-nucleotide transfer RNA is filed under the name Minisyncoccota bacterium. RNAcentral's name for it is "tRNA-Gln". It matches the Rfam family "tRNA". Rfam says of the family: Transfer RNA (tRNA) molecules are approximately 80 nucleotides in length. Lineage: Bacteria; Bacillati; Minisyncoccota. The record is from RNAcentral.